This is a non-coding RNA of Triticum aestivum (bread wheat), 125 nucleotides long. The record is from Rfam. NCBI's taxonomy places the organism in Eukaryota, Viridiplantae, Streptophyta, Magnoliopsida, Poales, Poaceae.
UUAGUACUCCCUCCGUACAAAAAUAGUUGUCGAUGAAAUGGAUGUAUCUAGAUGUAUUUUAGUUGUAGAUACAUUCAUUUCUAUCCAUUUAUGUGACAAGUAAUUCUGGACGGAGGGAGUACUUU